Molecule: ribosomal RNA, 253 nt
Filed under: uncultured bacterium
Lineage: Bacteria
Description: partial 16S ribosomal RNA
Rfam family: Bacterial small subunit ribosomal RNA
Source: RNAcentral
UACGGAGGGGGCUAGCGUUGUUCGGAAUUACUGGGCGUAAAGCGCGCGUAGGCGGUUUUCUAAGUCAGAGGUGAAAGCCCGGAGCUCAACUCCGGAAUUGCCUUUGAGACUGGGAGACUUGAAUCCAGGAGAGGUGAGUGGAAUUCCGAGUGUAGAGGUGAAAUUCGUAGAUAUUCGGAAGAACACCAGUGGCGAAGGCGGCUCACUGGACUGGUAUUGACGCUGAGGUGCGAAAGCGUGGGGAGCAAACAGG